Molecule: ribosomal RNA, 1526 nt
Filed under: Pseudomonas sp. FSL R10-0399
Lineage: Bacteria; Pseudomonadati; Pseudomonadota; Gammaproteobacteria; Pseudomonadales; Pseudomonadaceae
Description: partial 23S ribosomal RNA
Rfam family: Bacterial large subunit ribosomal RNA
Source: RNAcentral
GUUAUAUGGUCAAGUGAAGAAGCGCAUACGGUGGAUGCCUUGGCAGUCAGAGGCGAUGAAAGACGUGGUAGCCUGCGAAAAGCUUCGGGGAGUCGGCAAACAGACUUUGAUCCGGAGAUGUCUGAAUGGGGGAACCCACCUAACAUAAGUUAGGUAUCUUAAGCUGAAUACAUAGGCUUAAGAAGCGAACCAGGGGAACUGAAACAUCUAAGUACCCUGAGGAAAAGAAAUCAACCGAGAUUCCCUUAGUAGUGGCGAGCGAACGGGGACCAGCCCUUAAGCUGUAUUGAUGUUAGCGGAACGCUCUGGAAAGUGCGGCCAUAGUGGGUGAUAGCCCUGUACGCGAAAACAUCUUUACAGUGAAAUCGAGUAGGACGGAGCACGAGAAACUUUGUCUGAAUAUGGGGGGACCAUCCUCCAAGGCUAAAUACUACUGACUGACCGAUAGUGAACUAGUACCGUGAGGGAAAGGCGAAAAGAACCCCGGAGAGGGGAGUGAAAUAGAUCCUGAAACCGUAUGCGUACAAGCAGUGGGAGCCUACUUUGUUAGGUGACUGCGUACCUUUUGUAUAAUGGGUCAGCGACUUAUUUUCAGUGGCAAGCUUAACCGAAUAGGGGAGGCGUAGCGAAAGCGAGUCUUAAUAGGGCGUCUAGUCGCUGGGAAUAGACCCGAAACCGGGCGAUCUAUCCAUGGGCAGGUUGAAGGUUGGGUAACACUAACUGGAGGACCGAACCGACUACCGUUGAAAAGUUAGCGGAUGACCUGUGGAUCGGAGUGAAAGGCUAAUCAAGCUCGGAGAUAGCUGGUUCUCCUCGAAAGCUAUUUAGGUAGCGCCUCAUGUAUCACUGUAGGGGGUAGAGCACUGUUUCGGCUAGGGGGUCAUCCCGACUUACCAAACCGAUGCAAACUCCGAAUACCUACAAGUGCCGAGCAUGGGAGACACACGGCGGGUGCUAACGUCCGUCGUGAAAAGGGAAACAACCCAGACCGUCAGCUAAGGUCCCAAAGUUAUGGUUAAGUGGGAAACGAUGUGGGAAGGCUUAGACAGCUAGGAGGUUGGCUUAGAAGCAGCCACCCUUUAAAGAAAGCGUAAUAGCUCACUAGUCGAGUCGGCCUGCGCGGAAGAUUUAACGGGGCUCAAACCAUACACCGAAGCUACGGGUAUCACUUAGGUGAUGCGGUAGAGGAGCGUUCUGUAAGCCUGUGAAGGUGAGUUGAGAAGCUUGCUGGAGGUAUCAGAAGUGCGAAUGCUGACAUGAGUAACGACAAUGGGUGUGAAAAACACCCACGCCGAAAGACCAAGGUUUCCUGCGCAACGUUAAUCGACGCAGGGUUAGUCGGUCCCUAAGGCGAGGCUGAAAAGCGUAGUCGAUGGAAAACAGGUUAAUAUUCCUGUACUUCUGGUUAUUGCGAUGGAGGGACGGAGAAGGCUAGGCCAGCUUGGCGUUGGUUGUCCAAGUUUAAGGUGGUAGGCUGGAAUCUUAGGUAAAUCCGGGAUUCUAAGGCCGAGAGCUGAUGACGAGUU